RNAcentral lists this transfer RNA (77 nucleotides) under Mycolicibacterium parafortuitum. RNAcentral's name for it is "tRNA-Asn". The record is from RNAcentral. Lineage: Bacteria; Bacillati; Actinomycetota; Actinomycetes; Mycobacteriales; Mycobacteriaceae.
GUCGCGUCCUUGGACACGGUGCCCUGGCCGCUGUUGACGGUCCGGUUGGGGCUGAUCCUGUCUGCCGACGCGGUGCC